Molecule: ribosomal RNA, 253 nt
Filed under: uncultured bacterium
Lineage: Bacteria
Description: partial 16S ribosomal RNA
Rfam family: Bacterial small subunit ribosomal RNA
Source: RNAcentral
GACAGAGGUGCCGAGCGUUAGGCGGAAUCACUGGGCUUAAAGCGUGUGUAGGCGGGCCGUUAAGUGUCUUGUGAAAUCCCCCGGCUCAACCGGGGAAUUGCUGGGCAUACUGGCGGUCUUGAGCGAUCUAGGGGCAGAUGGAACAAGUGGUGGAGCGGUGAAAUGCGUAGAUAUCCGGAGGAAUACCAAAGGCGAAGGCAGUGUCCUGGCUGGCAUCUGACGCUGAGGCGCGAAAGCUAGGGGAGCGAACGGG